UGGGGAAUCUUGGACAAUGGGCGAAAGCCUGAUCCAGCCAUGCCGCGUGAGUGACGAAUGUCUUCGGAUUGUAAAGCUCUUUUUGGCGGGGACGAUAAUGACGGUACCCGCAGAAUAAGCCCCGGCUAACUUCGUGCCAGCAGCCGCGGUAAUACGAAGGGGGCUAGCGUUGUUCGGAAUUACUGGGCGUAAAGCGCACGUAGGCGGAUUUGUAAGUCAGGGGUGAAAUCCCGGGGCUCAACCUCGGAACUGCCCUUGAUACUGCAAAUCUCGAGUCCGAUAGAGGUGAGUGGAAUUCCUAGUGUAGAGGUGAAAUUCGUAGAUAUUAGGAAGAACACCAGUGGCGAAGGCGGCUCACUGGAUCGGUACUGACGCUGAGGUGCGAAAGCGUGGGGAGCAAACAGGAUUAGAUACCCAAGUAGUCCCUGAGCGGGCUGGCAAGGCGCAU
This 448-nucleotide ribosomal RNA is filed under the name uncultured bacterium. RNAcentral's name for it is "bacterial SSU rRNA". It matches the Rfam family "Bacterial small subunit ribosomal RNA", at positions 355 to 825 of the family's 1533-position model. The record is from RNAcentral.